This 250-nucleotide ribosomal RNA is filed under the name uncultured bacterium. RNAcentral's name for it is "partial 16S ribosomal RNA". It matches the Rfam family "Bacterial small subunit ribosomal RNA", at positions 524 to 773 of the family's 1533-position model. The record is from RNAcentral.
UACGGAGGGUGCAAGCGUUGCUCGGAAUUAUUGGGCGUAAAGGGUAGGUAGGUGGUCUCGUUUGUCAGGGGUGAAAGCCCUGGGCUUAACCCAGGAAGUGCCUUUGAAACGGCGAGACUUGAGUUCUGAAGAGGAUAGCGGAAUUCCCGGUGUAGCGGUGAAAUGCGUAGAUAUCGGGAAGAACACCAGAGGCGAAGGCGGCUAUCUGGCCAGACACUGACACUGAACUACGAAAGCGUGGGGAGCAAAC